AAUGGGGGAUAACGUAGCGAAAGUUACGCUAAUACCGCAUAUGCCCUGAGGGGGAAAGGGGGGGAUCGCAAGACCUAUCGUUUUCGGAGUGGCCGAUAUCAGAUUAGCUAGUUGGUGGGGUAAAGGCCUACCAAGGCGACGAUCUGUAGCUGGUCUGAGAGGACGACCAGCCACACUGGGACUGAGACACGGCCCAGACUCCUACGGGAGGCAGCAGUGGGGAAUUUUGGACAAUGGGGGCAACCCUGAUCCAGCCAUGCCGCGUGAGUGAAGAAGGCCUUCGGGUUGUAAAGCUCUUUCGGACGGAAAGAAAUCGCCAUUCCUAAUACCAGUGGUGGAUGACGGUACCGUAAGAAGAAGCACCGGCUAACUACGUGCCAGCAGCCGCGGUAAUACGUAGGGUGCGAGCGUUAAUCGGAAUUACUGGGCGUAAAGCGUGCGCAGGCGGUUUUGUAAGACAGACGUGAAAUCCCCGGGCUUAACCUGGGAACUGCGUUUGUGACUGCAAGGCUAGAGUACGGCAGAGGGGGGUAGAAUUCCA
RNAcentral lists this ribosomal RNA (541 nucleotides) under uncultured Gallionellaceae bacterium. RNAcentral's name for it is "bacterial SSU rRNA". It matches the Rfam family "Bacterial small subunit ribosomal RNA", at positions 135 to 671 of the family's 1533-position model. The record is from RNAcentral. Lineage: Bacteria; Pseudomonadati; Pseudomonadota; Betaproteobacteria; Nitrosomonadales; Gallionellaceae.